This 377-nucleotide unclassified non-coding RNA is filed under the name soil metagenome. RNAcentral describes it as "partial contains 5.8S ribosomal RNA, internal transcribed spacer 2, and large subunit ribosomal RNA". The stretch from base 1 to 120 matches the Rfam family "5.8S ribosomal RNA", at positions 35 to 154 of the family's 154-position model. The record is from RNAcentral.
GAUGAAGAACGUAGCGAAAUGCGAUAAGUAGUGUGAAUUGCAGAAUUCAGUGAAUCAUCGAAUCUUUGAACGCAUCUUGCGCUCCUUGGUAUUCUGAGGAGCAUGCCUGUUUGAGUGUCAUUAAAUUCUCAACCGCACUGACUUUGAAUUGGUGUGGCUUGGAUUUGGGGGGAAAAUCGUUGUGGGCUUUUUUGUAUAGUCUGCUCCCCUGAAAUUGAUUAGCGGUACCUUUGUGGAACUGUCUACAGGUGUGAUAAUUAUCUACAUCCUAGACAUCUGCUGGAAUGCUGCUUUCUAAACCUUACUUGUAUUGACAAUCUUGACCUCAAAUCAGGUAGGACUACCCGCUGAACUUAAGCAUAUCAAUAAGCGGAGGA